This 588-nucleotide ribosomal RNA is filed under the name uncultured bacterium. RNAcentral describes it as "bacterial SSU rRNA". It matches the Rfam family "Bacterial small subunit ribosomal RNA", at positions 338 to 916 of the family's 1533-position model. The record is from RNAcentral.
CCUACGGGAGGCAGCAGUAGGGAAUCUUCCGCAAUGGACGAAAGUCUGACGGAGCAACGCCGCGUGAGCGGAGAAGGUCUUCGGAUUGUAAAGCUCUGUUGUUAGGGAAGAACAAGUACCGUUCGAAGAGGGCGGUACCGUGACGGUACCUAACGAGAAAGCCACGGCUAACUACGUGCCAGCAGCCGCGGUAAUACGUAGGUGGCAAGCGUUGUCCGGAAUUAUUGGGCGUAAAGCGCGCGCAGGCGGUUCCUUAAGUCUGAUGUGAAAGCCCACGGCUCAACCGUGGAGGGUCAUUGGAAACUGGGGGACUUGAGUGCAGAAGAGGAGAGCGGAAUUCCACGUGUAGCGGUGAAAUGCGUAGAGAUGUGGAGGAACACCAGUGGCGAAGGCGGCUCUCUGGUCUGUAACUGACGCUGAGGCGCGAAAGCGUGGGGAGCAAACAGGAUUAGAUACCCUGGUAGUCACGCCGUAAACGAUGAGUGCUAAGUGUUAGAGGGUAUCCACCCUUUAGUGCUGUAGCUAACGCAUUAAGCACUCCGCCUGGGGAGUACGCCUCGCAAGAGUGAAACUCAAAGGAAUUGACGG